RNAcentral lists this ribosomal RNA (1370 nucleotides) under Brahmaea certhia (owl moth). RNAcentral's name for it is "16S ribosomal RNA". Lineage: Eukaryota; Metazoa; Arthropoda; Insecta; Lepidoptera; Brahmaeidae. The record is from RNAcentral.
GGGGGGAAAUUAAUUAUAAAAUAGAUAAUAAAAGAAAUUUUAAUAUUAAAAUAUGAAUGGGGGUUAAAGUAUUUUAAUAGAAAAAAUUUUAAAAUUUAUAGUUAAUUAGUAUUGUAAAAGAUUUUUGAAAUAAUAAUGAAAAUAAAUUUAUUUAAAAGUAAUUUUUAUUUAAUGUAUCUUGUGUAUCAGAGUUUAUUAAUAAUUUUUUAUGUUUAUAAAUUUCUCAAAUUUAAAAGAGAUAAUUAAUUAUAAAAGUUAUUGUUGUAUAAAUAUUUUUAAUAAUUAAUUUGAAAUGAAAUGUUAAUCGUUUUUAAAGAUAUUUAGUUUUUUUAGAAAAAAAUUUAAUUUUUAAUAUUAAAAAAAAAAUAUUAAUUAAUUAAUAUUUUUUUUUUAAUAUUUAAUAUUUUAGGGGAUAAGCUUUAAAUUAAAUUUUUAUAAUAUAAUUAUUUUUUUUUUAUUAAAAAUUUUAUUAUUUAUAUUGUAAAAAAAUUUUAUUUUAUUAUAAAUAAUUUUAUUAAAAUUUAAAAUUUAAUUAAAAUUUAAUUUUUUAUAAAAAAAUAAUUUUUAAUUAAAUAAUUUUAGUUAUAAUGAUAAAAUUAGUAUAUAAAUUAAUUAAUAUUUAAAAAUUUAUUUAAAUAAAUUAGUUAAAAGGAAUUCGGCAAAUAUAUAUAUUCACUUGUUUAUCAAAAACAUGUCUUUUUGUUAAAAAUAUAAAGUCUAAUCUGCCCACUGAUAAAUUAUUAAAGGGCUGCAGUAUUUUGACUGUACAAAGGUAGCAUAAUCAUUAGUCUCUUAAUUGGUGACUUGUAUGAAAGAUUGGAUGAAAUAUAAACUGUCUUUUAAUUAAAUAUAGAAUUUAAUUUUUUAAUUAAAAAGUUAAAAUAAAUUAAAAAGACGAGAAGACCCUAUAGAGUUUUAUAGUUAAAUUAUUUAAAUUUAUUUAUAAAUUUAAUAAAUUUUGAUUAAUUUAAUUAUUUUAUUGGGGGGAUAAAAAAAUAUAAUUAACUUUUUUUAAAAUUGAACAUCAAUAAGUGAAUUUUUGAUCCAAUAAUAUUGAUUAAAAGAAAAAAUUACCUUAGGGAUAACAGCGUAAUUUUUUUUUUUAGUUCAUAUAAGAAAAAGAGUUUGCGACCUCGAUGUUGGAUUAAGAUAAAAUUUGAAUGCAAAAGUUCAAAAUUUUGAUCUGUUCGAUCAUUAAAAUCUUACAUGAUCUGAGUUCAAACCGGUGUGAGCCAGGUUGGUUUCUAUCUUUUAAUAAAUAAAAUAUUUUAGUACGAAAGGAUCAAAUAUUUAAAUUAAAUUUAUAUUAAUGAAUUUUAUUAAAUUUAAUUUUAUAUUAAAUAUAUUGUAAAAUAUAUUAUUUUAGUAAA